UACGUAGGGGGCAAACGUUGUCCGGAUUUAUUGGGCGUAAAGAGCGUGUAGGCGGCCACACAGGUCAGCUGUGAAAACUCGAGGCUCAACCUCGAGACGUCGGUUGAAACCGUAUGGCUAGAGUCCGGAAGAGGAGAGUGGAAUUCCCGGUGUAGCGGUGAAAUGCGCAGAUAUCGGGAAGAACACCCGUGGCGAAGGCGGCUCUCUGGGACGGUACUGACGCUGAGACGCGAAAGCGUGGGGAGCGAACAGG
Molecule: ribosomal RNA, 253 nt
Filed under: uncultured bacterium
Lineage: Bacteria
Description: partial 16S ribosomal RNA
Rfam family: Bacterial small subunit ribosomal RNA
Source: RNAcentral